UGCUUUUCUUCGGACAAAUUACAAGGUGCUGCAUGGUUGUCGUCAGCUCGUGCCGUGAGGUGUCAGGUUAAGUCCUAUAACGAGCGCAACCCCUGUUGCUAGUUGCCAGCGAGUCAAGUCGGGAACUCUAGCAAGACUGCCGGUGUAAACCGAGAGGAAGGUGGGGAUGACGUCAAAUCAUCACGGCCCUUACGUCCUGGGCCACACACGUGCUACAAUGGGCGGUACAGAGAGCAGCUACCUAGUGAUAGGAUGCGAAUCUAUAAAACCGUUCUCAGUUCGGAUCGGAGUCUGCAACUCGACUCCGUGAAGCUGGAAUCGCUAGUA
This 327-nucleotide ribosomal RNA is filed under the name Flavobacterium sp. 10-9A4. RNAcentral describes it as "bacterial SSU rRNA". It matches the Rfam family "Bacterial small subunit ribosomal RNA", at positions 1011 to 1340 of the family's 1533-position model. Lineage: Bacteria; Pseudomonadati; Bacteroidota; Flavobacteriia; Flavobacteriales; Flavobacteriaceae. The record is from RNAcentral.